This 406-nucleotide ribosomal RNA is filed under the name uncultured bacterium. Its description in RNAcentral is "partial 16S ribosomal RNA". It matches the Rfam family "Bacterial small subunit ribosomal RNA", at positions 30 to 526 of the family's 1533-position model. The record is from RNAcentral.
AUUGAACGCUGGCGGCAGGCCUAACACAUGCAAGUCGAGCGAGCGGCGGACGGGUGAGUAAUGUCUGGGAAACUGCCUGAUGGAGGGGGAUAACUACUGGAAACGGUAGCUAAUACCGCAUACCAUCAGAUGUGCCCAGAUGGGAUUAGCUAGUAGGUGGGGUAACGGCUCACCUAGGCGACGAUCCCUAGCUGGUCGGAGAGGAUGACCAUCCACACGUGAACUGAGACACGGUCCAGACUCCUACGUGAGGCAGCAUUGGGGAAUCUUGCACAAUGGGCGCAAGCCUGAUGCAGCCAGGCCGCUUGUGUGAAGAAGGCCUUCGGGUUGUAAAGCACUGUCAGCGGGGAGGCGUUGCCCGCAGAGGAAGCACCGGCUAACUCCGCGCCAGCAGCCGCGGUAAUAC